This 254-nucleotide ribosomal RNA is filed under the name uncultured bacterium. RNAcentral describes it as "partial 16S ribosomal RNA". It matches the Rfam family "Bacterial small subunit ribosomal RNA", at positions 524 to 776 of the family's 1533-position model. The record is from RNAcentral.
UACGGGGGGAGCAAGCGUUGUUCGGAUUUACUGGGCGUAAAGGGCGCGUAGGCGGCCACUGCAAGUCGGUUGUGAAAUCUCCGGGCUUAACCCGGAAAGGUCAAUCGAUACUGCAGGGCUAGAGUGCAGAAGGGGCAACUGGAAUUCUCGGUGUAGCGGUGAAAUGCGUAGAUAUCGAGAGGAACACCGGUGGCGAAGGCGGCCUUCUGGACAGUGACUGACGCUGAGGUACGAAAGCGUGGGUAGCAAACAGG